RNAcentral lists this ribosomal RNA (492 nucleotides) under uncultured bacterium. RNAcentral's name for it is "partial 16S ribosomal RNA". It matches the Rfam family "Bacterial small subunit ribosomal RNA", at positions 29 to 507 of the family's 1533-position model. The record is from RNAcentral.
AGUGAACGCUGGCGGUAGGCCUAACACAUGCAAGUCGAACGGCAGCACAGUAAGAGCUUGCUCUUACGGGUGGCGAGUGGCGGACGGGUGAGGAAUACAUCGGAAUCUACUUUUUCGUGGGGGAUAACGUAGGGAAACUUACGCUAAUACCGCAUACGACCUACGGGUGAAAGCAGGGGAUCUUCGGACCUUGCGCGAUUGAAUGAGCCGAUGUCGGAUUAGCUAGUUGGCGGGGUAAAGGCCCACCAAGGCGACGAUCCGUAGCUGGUCUGAGAGGAAGAUCAGCCACACUGGAACUGAGACACGGUCCAGACUACUACGGGAGGCAGCAGUGGGGAAUAUUGGACAAUGGGCGCAAGCCUGAUCCAGCCAUACCGCGUGGGUGAAGAAGGCCUUCGGGUUGUAAAGCCCUUUUGUUGGGAAAGAAAAGCAGCAGGUUAAUACCCCGCUGUUCUGACGGUACCCAAAGAAUAAGCACCGGCUAACUUCGUG